AACAAACGCUGGCGGCGUGCCUAACACAUGCAAGUCGUACGAGAAAUCCUGGGCAACUGGGAGAGUAAAGUGGCGCACGGGUGAGUAACGCGUGGGUAACCUGCCCUUGAAUUGGGGAUAACUCCGCGAAAGCGAAGUUAAUACCGAAUGAUAUUCCGAUUUCUCCGGAGGUUGGAAUCAAAGGUGGCCUCUGCAUGCAAGCUACUGUUCAAGGAUGGGCCCGCGUACCAUUAGCUUGUUGGUAGGGUAACGGCCUACCAAGGCUACGAUCCGUAGCUGGUCUGAGAGGAUGAUCAGCCACACUGGGACUGAGACACGGCCCAGACUCCUACGGGUGGCUG
This 341-nucleotide ribosomal RNA is filed under the name uncultured Pseudomonadota bacterium. RNAcentral describes it as "bacterial SSU rRNA". It matches the Rfam family "Bacterial small subunit ribosomal RNA", at positions 29 to 351 of the family's 1533-position model. Lineage: Bacteria; Pseudomonadati; Pseudomonadota. The record is from RNAcentral.